This 27289-nucleotide long non-coding RNA is filed under the name Hordeum vulgare. Its description in RNAcentral is "long non-coding RNA (HVUL_LNC012683)". Lineage: Eukaryota; Viridiplantae; Streptophyta; Magnoliopsida; Poales; Poaceae. The record is from RNAcentral.
AGGGAACGGCUCGCGUCUUUCGAUUUUCGAACUCCAAAUUUUCGGCUUUGGGGGGAUGGAAUCCCGUUCCGGCUCGUCACUGGAGCAGAGCCGCUUGUGCCACCCCGAUGUUUCCUUGGAUGACAGGUGGGCCCACGUUCCGGUGGGGCGGGCUUGUCAUACGGGAGAAACAGACGGGCCAUACGAUUGAUUCAUUUCAUUCGGUGAUGCGUAAACGUCACUACUGCUCGUAGAUAGCUGGGCUGGUUCUGACCUACUAAUUGCGAGGCCGCAUGGGCUCAGGUCCAGCGUCUAUAAUCGAGAGACUUUCAGGAGGGAAAAUCCUAUUCGCCGCUUGCUGCGGCGAAUGGUCGAGGUUUCGCACAAGGGCGGAUGCAAGGGAGGCUAGUUGGCCCGGCCAUUUCCAGCUUUGCACAGUGCGGCCAAGUUUCUUCUGUGUUGUUUCUUUUUCUAUUUACUAGAAAAAAGGCUCGUGCGUUGUAACGGAAGCGAAAAAAAAUCCACGUUUCUAAUAUAACAUGAUGUCCUGUAUUUCCCGAGUCUAAGAAGAAACUAUAUGGUUCAGACUUUGGACUCGUGUCUCACGUUUAAACGAAGAAAUAUUCCUCUCUAGGGUAAAGGUGCAAAUAUAGAUAAAAUGUAUAGAUUGCUUUCCCAAAUUAUUUUGAACCUUUUCCAAAAUUCACAUUAAAGUUCUACUCCAAGUUUAGUAUCCAAACCUUUCCCAUAAAUCUUUCUGCAUUUGUUAAAGCCACCCACAAAUUUUCAUCAUUUUUCAGAAAUCCUAAAUCGAACUUCUAGUUCUAACUCAUUUGAAUUGAAUUUAAAUGAGUUUGAUUAAUAUGAUUCCAUCAUGACAAAACAUUAUCUUCCCAAUAUACAUAUUUAAAGUAGUCCAGGGAAUUUGUCCUCACUUCAAAACUCUUCUCCAAACCCCUUUGUGCUUGUCUUCUACUCCCUCCGUUCCUAAAUAUAAGUCUUUCUAUAGAUUUCACUAAUAGACUACAUACGAAUGUAUAUAGACAUACUUUAGAGUGUAGAUUCAUUCAUUUUGCUCCGUAUGUAGACUUCUAAUGAAAUCUCUUAAAAGACUUAUAUUUAGGAACGGGGGGAGUAGUUCUUUGUUUAUUUCUAAACAGAAAAAAAAAAUAGCAGAAGAGAGGAGCACAAACACAUAGCCAGCCACAGCCCACUUGCCUAGCCGGCCUAGCGAAAGGGAUCAGCUCAUGAGUUUAAUUCUUUUUCCCCUCCUUUCCUUGAGUGCCCAAUUCUGCUUGUUGAUCCUUCAAACAGAUUACGUAUAUGAACUGAUAGAAUCAUAUCUAAAUAAGCGAGGUGGGACAAGAGCAGAGCUGGUAAGUUCGAUCCUAACAGCUCUUGUACACCUAAAAAGUCAACUUACUUGUUCACAAUCCAUAAAAGAACUUCAGUUGAAAGGCCACUUGCUUGGCUCGUUGCUAGACCCAAAAUUGACCGAGCUGAACAUCACGAAGACAACGUACGGACAAAUAUUUGGAAAUCCCUAUUUGACGCGCGUUGCGUCAAAAUACCGCAACUGAAGAACGACUGGUCAUCAGGAUUGGGCCGGCCCGUUUAACCGUCUCAAUGUGUUUCCGGUUUUGGGAACCUUCUAGAGGUUUUCAGUCUUUUUUUUGGUUUUAGGAACUUUUUAGAAGAUUCCCUAAACCGGUUUUUCUUUUUUCUUUAUUCUUUUUUGUUUCUUUUUUUGUUUCUGUUUCAAAAUUGUUCUGAAUUUUCAAAAAAUGUUUCGGAAAUUGAAAAAUGUUUUGGAAUUUGAAAAAAUGUUCCAUACUUUGGAAAAUGUUUGGAAUAUGAAAACAUGUUCCAGAAUGUAAAAAAAUUGUUUCGGAUUUUGAAAAAAUGUUUCGGAGUUUGAAAUAUUUUUUCUGGAUUUGAAAAAAUGUUCCGGCAUUUGAAACAAUGUUCCGAAAUUUGAAAAAAUGUUACAGAGUAUAUAGAAAUAUUCUGGCAUUUAAAAAACUGUUCACGAAUUUGAAAAAAUGUGCUGGUAUUUGAAAAAAUGUUCCGAAACUUGAAAAAUGUUCUAAAUUUUGGAAAAAUGUUCCGGAAUUUGUAAAAAUCUUCUGGAAUUUGAAAAAAUGUUCCUAAAUUUGUAAAAAUGCUUUGGAAUUCGAAAAAAUGUUCUACAAUUUCAAAAAAUGCUCCAGAAUUUGAAAAAUGUUUCGGAAUUUUAAAAAUGUUCCAAAAUUUGAAAAAAUUCUCCAUAUUUGAAGAAAUGUUCUGGAUUUUAAACAAAUGUUCCGGAAUUUGAAAACAAAUCAGAAUCUGGAAAUUAUACGGAAUUUAAAAAAAUGUUCCAGAAUUUGAAAAACGAUUUUGCACAUAUUUUAAAAAAUAUUCCUGUUUAAAAAAGUUUCUUCUCGUAAUUCAGAAAAUGUUUGUGCUUGAAAAUGUGUUUGCGCUUUCAAACUUGUUUCGGAUUUUUCAAAAUUUUGUUCUUAGGAUUCAAAAAAUGUUCACGCUUAUAAAUUUAUUCACCUUUUUUGAAAAUUUUUGUUUAAAUUAGAAAAAUGUUUUGCUUUAAAUAAAAAAUGAAGGAAAAAUAAAAAACCGAAAAAGUUAAAAUACAAAAAGCAGUGAAGGAGAAUAGUAACAGAAAAUACUGGGCCGGCCCAUUAGGGUAGCCCUCCUAUGCGGCGGUGGAGCUCCCUGCCGCAAUGAGCGGCAGGUAGGAGCUCCCCGAAUUUUUAGUACCUCCUCAAAUAGCAAAAAAUCAUCUAAGUGGGACGAAACAAAAAUAUCACUUUAAAUUAGUACCACCUCAUGUAUUAUUAAAAAACAAAAAGAAUAUCAAUUUACUUUAUUAAUGGGUAUAUAUUCUGUUCUUCACUUGAUUUCUGUUUUUCGUUUUUUUCUGCUUCUUUUUCUGUUUCUCCUUUUUUCAUCUUACUUUCUUCACGUUAUUUCUUUUCAAUUUUGAUUAAGAAAUUUAAAAAAUGUUUCAAAAAAUGUUCCAAAUUAAAAAAAACUGUUUUGUACAUUUUUAUCAGAAAUAUCAAAAAUGUCCAAAAUUCCAAAAAUAAUAGAACUUCAAAAUGUUUGUGUUUCAAAACAAAUAUUGUGUUUAUCAAUUUUGUUCGUGAGUUUAAAAAAUGUUCAAUGAUUUCAAAAAAUGUUCAUGCAUUUAAGUUUUUGUAAAGUUUUUUACGAAAUCUUACAUUUUUCAUGAUUUCAUAUUUUUGUUCAGAAAUUUUAAAAAUGUUUGCGUUUCAGAAAAUGUUUACGAAUUUCAAAAAUAUUCGCAUUUCCAAAUUAUUGUUGGGAGAUUCAGAAAAUGUAUGUAUUUCAGAAAAAAAUGUUCGUGUUAUCAAACAUUGUUCGUGUUUUUGAAUUUAUUUCAGGAGUUUAAAAAACUGUUCACGGUUAUGAAAAUUGUUCGGUUUUUUUAAAAAAAUUGGGAGUUUAAAAAUGUUCCACUUCUUAAAAUAUGUUCAAAAAUUAAAUAAAUGUCUAGGAAUUUCAAAAAAUCUUCCACUUUUUUAUUUUCUUUUCUUUCCUCUCAUUUCAAUUUUGAUUUUCUUUCUUCCCUUACUUUUUCUAUUUUUAUAAAUCGUUGGGUUUUACUGUUUUGUUGUCCAGGAUUUUCAAAAAAUGUUUGUACUUCUCAAAAAAAAAUCAGAAGUUCAGAAAAUAUUCUUGUUAUUAACUUUUGUUCACAAAUUCAAAGAAAAUACUUUAUUUUGUAAAAAUUGCCUGCUUUUCAAAAAGAUCUAUAAGUUAAAAAAUGUUCACAUUUUCAAAUUAUGUUUGGGAGUUUCGAAAAAUCUUCCCAUUUCUACAUUUGCUCCACAAUUUUUUUUCAAAAUGUUCGCGUUUUCAAAUUUUUGGGAGUUCUUAUAAAUGCAUUUAAAGAAGAGUAAAAUACAUUAAAGGUCCUAAAAAUAUUCCAAGUGUGUCAAAUAGGUCUUAAAAGUUUGAAACCGUUCACCGCGGGUCCUAAAUGUGAGCAAGUCGUUCAUCAUGGGUCCUAAAAGUAUUUCAAGUGUGUCAAGUAAGUCCUAAAACUCGGAGGUAAAAUGCACAUGUAGGACUAGCGGUGAACGACUUGGGAUAAUUGCUAAAACUUGCCAACUUUUAAAAUUGGAAAAAACUAAGUUUUUAUUUGGUCAACUAAACUAACCACCCCGCCCCCUCUACACAUACUUAGGAUCCUACAAGUACCCGAGCCGUGUCGAGGAGUGCAACCGCGAUAGCGUCAUGGGUCACCGCCGAGAUGUCCACCACGAGCUUGUUUAGAGCGAGGGUGAUGUUUGCGCUGCGGGUGGCGUAGCCAUGGCUGACCGCAUCAGGGAAGACCACCGUGAACUCAUUAUCCGCCAUCGGAGUCACCCGACAGCCCUACUAACAUCAGUAAAGGUGGUUGAGCUCUGCCUCAAUCAUCUUCGAGGAGGUCGUGCCCUCGCCGAUCACCGUCACAAUCGCCUCGAGCGAGGGCACGGGAGGAGGGAGAUCUGGAACCUUGAUGUGGAAGAAGCCAAGGCCUUCGAUACUAUGACCAUACAUCGACGGUCACCUCUCCCUCGCAAGGAAGUGCCUUUUCCCACAAGCGACCGAGGAGAGCUCGGAGGCCGAGCGUUCCGGCAGGAACGUGGUGCUUGUGAUAUGUGUUGGUUCCGUGAAGAGGAAUGGGUGAUGCAGCAUAAUAUAGGUAAGUAUUUCCCUCAAUAGAGAACCGAGGUUUAUCGAACCAAUAGGAGUAACAACCGGCCCCCAUCUUCAGCAAGUGCACACAAAAGAAACAAACACUUUGUGGGGACCCCGACUCAUAAGUCGUGAUCACUCAAUCUACGUGCAUAGUGAUCUCAAAGAUCAAUGCUCACUAAACACACAUAAACUGAAUUACAAGAGUCUUACAUCCAUUAUGUAUUGUUUUACUCGAAUAUGGCCUUUAUGGCUAGGUCUUCAUAUAUUUGCAGCGGGAAAUCUUCAUCAAUAGUGUGAACCCAUACCAUCGGCCAUAACCCUACAAGUUUCUGACUAGGAAGCAUCCUAGCUUGCACAUACGUCAUUAAGGUGAUCUUCAUCAUAUCCUCUUCUCUCAUGCCUGGACAAUAAAAUAACCAAUGGCAAGCCAAUGAGUACUUUGAAUGUACUCGCAAGCAACCCAUGUUCUGGAACAAGGCAAUAACAAUGCAUGAUAUAGCACUAAGUAGGUAAGUUGUAGGAAGCUAACUUUAAGUGCAAUGACAUGGUCAAUGUAUCUUGUAAGAGCGUGCAACAUGAAGUUGCAGAUAUCCAUAUGAACAACUUAUAGAUAUCAAUGUAAGCAGGGGUUGAACGUCUCAUGUUCAAUCAUCAUGUUAAGUCAUCUCACUUAGCUCAGGUAUCACCUUUUUCACACACGCACACCAAGUUUGGAAACCAUGGACGUAGCCCAAGAGCGGUCAUCCAACUGUCAUUGACUGUAGACACGGCUAUUCGAAUAAUUUUACACUGUGUAGAGGUUGCACACUUUACCCACAAGACUUGGGAAACUUCCAUGUCAAUCCACGACUCGCGGUAUUUUUCGUACCCGAGGUAAGUACUCGAACAAUGCAUUUCCCAUGACGAUACUAACCAAGUGUCCACUCGUUGGUACCAUCCCUCAUGAUGUACACCACAAGUAUCAUCCAUGAGGGCAUGCAACGGUGUGCCUGGUCUGUGUGAAAACAGCCCAUGGUCGUCCUUUCUUGGCAUGACCUCUUAUCGAGAGUUACCAUGUCACUCCCACCACUAGUAAUGCACGCUCUCAGCCAGCACCAACCACAGUAAUCAACAAAUCCCCGUCCCAUAUGGGGCGUCAUUGUCUUACAUGUAAGGUUGGAGUAACGAUCGCAACUUAAACCAAUCCGUUUUCAAAAAUAACACACUCACUUGCCUCAGUACACCACUUCUUUCUCAAGCGGUUACCUAGCUCAACACCGUCUCCCGCGGGGCAUUAGUGGCACCCGACGCGGUUUUUGAAGGUAUUUGUAAGUGCAUCUAGUGCCCCUUAGUGAUUUUUGUGAUUUGAAGACUUAUAGGUUAAGAUACUGAUAAGUUUGUAAGUGUACACACGCUCUAUAAGUCGUUGAGGAGAUUGAGUUAUUCGAUGAAUAUCGACCCCUAAAAAUGUAUGUCUUCGGGUGAAGACUCUGGUCAUUCCUUGAAGACUUUGACUGCGAAGAAAUUGCGAAGAAAAUGAUAUUCCUAAUGAAGACAUUGAAGAUUAGGAAUUCGGUGUGUCCCGAAGAAAAUACUAUUAAGACUUUGAAGCUUGAAGUUUACUCUUUCUGUUUCAUUUUUUUACUCUCGAGUCAUAUGAACAUCGUACUGUUAAUGGGGGUUGAGGUAAAACUAUGGAAAUAAUUUCCUCAUGAUGCUCAACCCAAACCUACACCUACCAAAUCCUCAGAGUGAGGAACAUGAGAGACAUGAUGAUUCACACAGUUGAAAGUUCCGACCGUUGCCGCGCCACGUGCCACCCGUCCCAAAUCUUAUCCACCCUAUGGUCAUAUCAUUAAGGGCAUUUAUGUCAAAUCAUGUCGGGAUGCUCCCGAGGCUAUAAAUAGCCGCCCGCCACAACCACUAGCUGGUUGGGUGCUCUGAGAGAAACUGACACUAGUCAUUUAGAGCAACCCAAAUUCCUCAACACCUUUGAGCAAAAAUCAACAAGUGAGAAAUACCACAAACACCCAAACCCAAACCAAAACCCAAGUGAUUGAGCAUCACUGAAAAAGUUAUUCCUGUGUGGAACUGAUGCUUGAUACCUUUGAGGACUGUGCAUCCUCCAGACGGCUAGGCGUCAUGGUCUAGAGCAUCGAUCAGUCAAUUGUGGAUCAUCAGUGACCGAGUUUGUGAGGGUUUGGAAGUCUGCCUUGGAGACUUACCACGAGUGUUGGGUGAGGACUGUGUGUCCUUAGCUCAAGGAGAAUACGGAAGGGACUGUGUGUCCUUUGGUUUGAAUAGCAAGCCGCUCCAAACCAUACGUACAACUGUCACAAAAGUUGGAACUGGGUCAUCAAAAAAUGUCUUCAUCAAGCUACUAGUUCUAUUUCUUCAACUCGUCUCAUUUCCUCAGUUGCAUGUUGAAGACUUUCAGCUGUACUGUUUGAAGAAUUUGACUGAAGACUUUCUCUGAAUUUCUCACCUCAAAUUCUUCAAAUGAGUUAUUCACCACUUGCUUAUCCUGUACUCAUGACGUGUGCAAACCGAUUAUCUUAAUUCAAGUUGAGUACUUUGAUGUAGACGUUUUUGUACUUCUGACUAAGUACUAUUUCCGCUGUACUCAGUUCAUGACUGAGGACUUUCCUCACUAGGAAUUUCCUCAAUGAUGAAUUUGUAAAAAUCGCUUAUUCACCCCCCUCUAGUCGAUAUAACGCACUUUCAAUUGGUAUCAGAGCAAGGUACUCCCUUGUUUUUUAUGAUUUUGGUUUAACCGCCUGGAGUUUUAGUUAUGUCGACCGCAAGUAUGAUCAAGGUUACUGCAGGUUGUCCUACCUUCGAAGGAAAGGACUUUCCCUANNNNNNNNNNNNNNNNNNNNNNNNUCCCUACUAGAAGACCAAGAUGCAAAUGCAUCUUCAAGAAAUUGACAACGAUCUCUUGUACAUUGUAGAAAAUAGCGUUCCCUCCAUCACUGCUACUAUCUUUGUUGCUGAUGUGAAGAAGUUCAAGCAACUCGACUCGCAAGCGAAGAAUAUCAUAUGUGGCCACCUCAGCAAAGGUCAGUAUGGCAGAGUGUGUGCUUUGGGCACAUCUAAGCUUAUGUCGGAUAGGCUGUCCAAAGUCAAUGAGGGAGUCUCAACACAGCGUGACUCUAGUGUCGAUGUUCUUCGCAAUCUCUUCAACCGUUUCAAGAGGCUUGACAAUGAAGGCUGCCAAGAAACAUUUGAUCGCCUCACUGACAUCUCAAAUGAAUUGCAAGCUCUAGGAGACAGAGACAUCACUAACCAAGAAGUUGUGAAGAAACUGUUACGAUCUCUUGAUCCAUCAUUUGACACACUGGUUCUAAUGAUCCAAGAACAAAGAGACUACAAGAUGCUUGAUCCUGCUGAUAUUCUUGAGAGACUCAAUACUCAUGAAUGCCAACAAGAAAAAAGAGAGACCUAUAUGGAGCAAGCUAUUCAAGACUUCAUGCACUCAAGGCAAAGGUUGUUUCCUCAUCUGAAGAAGAAGAAUCUGACUGCAGUCUUGGUGAUCCUGAAGAACUUGGGGAGCAACUUGCUAUGCUUGUGAGGAAAUUCCUGAAGUUCACUAAGCGUGGCCAGUUCGGAAAGUCAUCAAGAAAAUAUAUGAGGAAAUCAGAAUCUUCAUCUGAGGACUACAAGAAAAGAACCAGCCACAAAUGCAAGAAAUCUGGUCACUACAUUGCUGACUGUCCUCGCCGGGUGAAGGAAUCAAGAAAUAAGAAAUACAAGGAUGAAAGUUUUGAUGACUCGAAGAAAAAUAAGAAAUAUUCAAAGUCCUCAUCACACAAGAAGACCACUUUCAAAAAGGCUCAGGCACUCAUUGGCAAGGAAAUGGAUUUUGAAGAAGAAUCUCAAGAAUGUGAUGAAGAGGAAGGUUCUGAAGUGGAGUCAGAAUCUGGUGUGUCAAGUCUUGCACUUGCUACCACAUUCGUCAUCAAGUUGAUCUUCGACCUUGAAGAAAAUGACAACAACACUGAUGAAUAUGAUGAUGACUUCGCUCCAACCUAUUGCUUCAUGGCAAAAGGUUCAAAGGUACAAAACCACACAUCCUCCUGUGACUCUAGUGAGUGUGAACCUGAUGAUUAUCAAAAACUGAACUACUAUAAACUUGCCAACAUUGCCACUAAGCAACAAAGUGCUAUUGAAAAGCUUCAGAAACUACUAGACAAAAGCGUUGAUGUGUUGAAUGAUGAAAUGAAUCAUGCCCAAAUCCUCACUAAAGAUGUCCAAAGUCUUCAGUCUAGAUUUGAUAGUCUUCAAAACCGUUAUGGUACACUCUUGGCCGAUCAUGAGAAGCUUUCCUAUGAAUUUCUUCAAAGGAAGCUUGAUCUUGAGAAGUUAAAAUGUCCCAUGAUGAUCUUCAAAUGGAAAAUGAUUCAUUGCUUGCUCAACAGACCAGUACCACUCAGGAAGAAUUCAUUCCACCAUGUCUGAAAUGCAUCGAACGUGAUACUCCUAAUUCUUCACCUGAAUCCUCAAAUGCUUCUAUCGCUACAAAUUCUUCAACUAUUCAUGUGGUAUCAAAUUCUUCACUUGAGGAAACCACAAAUGCUACUGACGAAAAUGCAGGAUUGAAGGAAUUGUAUGUGACAGGCUUAUACAAAAGUCUCAAAGGGCAUCAAACCCUUUGCGAUGUGCUCAAAAGGCAGAUUCUGAACAGGAACCCGAGGAAAGAGGGCAUUGCCUUUGAUAGGAAACUGAACGUUGAUUGGUCAUAAUGGAAACCUAAGCAGUACCCCAAAACCUCAUGGGUUGCUGCUAAAGGACCUCCUAUUGAUCCAUCCACUCUAACAGGCUUUGCAUGUGAAAUGUAUUAUUCCUCUAAUGAGUUAUUUGAAUCCAACUAUAAAUUGUUCAAAAAUCAAUCUGGUGAAGUAUUUGCUCGAUAUGUUGGAACUAGCUACAGGAACGGACCUCCUCUAAGGAAAAUUUGGGUUCCCAAAACUUUCUUGGAAAAUCUUCAGGUGAAUGUCCUCAUGACACCACCAAUGAAGAAUCGGAACCCCAGAUCAAAUUCCUCACGUGGACCAAAGUCUUCACGAGGAUCAAAUUCCUCAAAUGGCCAAAAUUAUGCUCAUACUCGUACUAAUGCUUCUGAUAUGCAGGGAAACUACAAGGGACAUGAAUAUGUGCACUAUUUCACACGUCCUCAAAUUUACUUCUGAUCUAACAUUUCACACGUCCUCAAAUUUAUUGUUUGUGAUGAAAUUCAAGUCUCAUGAAAUUGAUAUCAUGUUCUUCAAAUCUGAAGCAUAUGAGAUGGUAAGUUGUACUAAUUCAUCUGCAGGAUGAUCAACCCAAGAACAGAAAGUGGGUUCUUGACAGUGGAUGUACAAAUCACAUGACUGGUGAUAGAAGCUUAUUGAUGAAUAUCCUGCUGACUCUGUCACCACUGAAGCAAAUUACUUACGCUGAUAAAGGUAAAAGCAAGGUAUUGGGACUUGGUAAAGUGGCUAUCUCUAAGGAUCGACACAUGGACAAAGUCAUGCUUAUCAAAUCCCUUGGGUUUAAUGUCAUGACAGUCUCAAUGCUUUGUGAUCUUGAUAUGAUUGUCAUAUUUGGAAAAUAUAAUGUGUAGUCAUCAUGGAAUCUGACAAAUCCAAAGUCUUCGAAGGCUUUAGGAGAGGGGACUUGUAUAUUGUUGAUUUUUUCACAGGUCCUCAACCAGCCACAUGUUUACUAGCAAAAACAUUAGAAGACUGGUUAUGGCAUCGACGACUUGGUCAUGCACGCAUGAGGAAUUUGCACACAUUGGCAAAGAAGAAGCAUGUCAUUGGCAUCGAAACUGUCAAAUUCCUCAAGGACCAUCUCUGUGGUGCUUGUGAGUCUAAAAAAAUUACCAGAUCCAAACACCCCUCGAAGACUAUCAUGACUACAAAUCAUCCAUUUGAAUUGCUUCAUAUGAAUCUCUUUGGACCUACUCAUCGUGCUACUAUAACCAAUGCUGCAUCUCUAUAUGGCUUUUUUCAUCGUUGAUGAUUAUUCUCAUUAUACUUGGGUACACAUCAUUGCUUACAAAACUGAAGUGCGGGAAGUCUUCAAACGAUUUUCCUCGACAUGCACCAUGUGUUCGACUACGGCUAGGAGGUUAGUUCGGUCCGGCUAGCAAGCCCCCGAGCCCAAGGAGUCGGAUCGAGGAACUUACACUUAAGGCGACAACUGUUUUAGGAAAUCGAAAAGGUAUGCCCCAAGUGUUGGCUUGAGGCACCCGCUACAUUCAUUGAAUCCCAAAAGUUAAAGGAUCCAUACGUACACAUUUUUGUCUCUUGUUCUAGAAGUAGAACGGGCGAAGCAGUGCCGCAUUACAAGGAUGCUCCGUUUCCUCGCCGGAGGCAUCUCUCUUGCCCUUCUGCGGCUUCUGGGCGUCUAUUAGAUAGUACGCAUUGUUGUGCAACGCCUUCCUGAUGAUGAAAGGUCCCUCCCAUGGGGAAGAGAGCUUGUGCUGGCCGGCCGUUUGCAGGAUUCUUCUAAGUACCAGGUCCCCCUCAUGGAAAGAGAGAGGUCUGAUCCUUUUGCCGUGGUAGUGUCUCAGCUUCUGCUGGUAGAUGGCUGUUUGGCUCAGGGCCAGCUCCCGUGCCUCCUUGAUCAAAUCGACGCCGUCUUCUCUUGUCUCCCUUGCAUCCGCCUCUGUGUGCAGGGUGACACUCGGCAAGUCGAACUCGACAUCCGUGAGGAUUACCGCCUCGAACCCGUAGACGAGGAAGAAUGGCGUGAAGCCGGUUGAACGGUUUGGUGUGGUGCGAAGGCUCCACACCACAGCAGGCAACUCUUCUAUCCAGCAGCCGACUAACCUGAUGAGUGGUGCCAUGAGUCUUGGCUUGAUGUCGACCGAGAUUAGGUCGUUUGCCCUUUUUUCCUGGCCGUUUGAUUGCGGGUGCACGACCGAUGCUAGAUCAAGCUGGAUGCCCUCCUUGGCGUAGAAGAGCGCCAUUGCACCUUUGGCGAAGUUGGUGCCGUUGUCAGUGAUGAUGCUGUGGGGGACGCUGUUGCAGACGGUGAUGUCCUUGAUGAACCUGAAGGCAGUGGGACCGUCAAGCUUCUUGAUAGGCCUGGCCUCGAUCCACUUGGUGAACUUGUCGACGGCUACCAGGAGAUGCAUCAUGCCACCUCGGGUGGUCUUGAAUGGCCCUACCAUGUCGAACCCCCAGACGGCGAAGGGUCAUGAGAGGGGGAUGGUCUUGAGAGCCGUGGCCGGCAAGUGGCUUUGCGUGAUGAAGCGUUGGCAUCCUUCACACUUGUUGACCAGGGCUGUGGCCUCCUCCAGGGCCAUGGGCCAGUAGAAUCCGUGGCGGAACGCCUUGUCCACCAGGGUUAUGGAGGCGACAUGAUGCCCUCACUCGUCAUGAUGUAUGUUCUUGUGAAUUUCUUGCCCUUUCUCUGAUUCGACGCAGCAUUGAAAUACGCUAGUUGUACUGUGUUGAACCAGUUCACGGUUGAUGAUGGCGUAGGUGGGAGAUCGGCGGUGAAUCUGUCGUGCCUCCGCCUCGUUAGGAGGGAGCUCACCGCAAAGGAGGAAAGCCAGGAUGGGCUGGGCCCAUGUGGGAGCUGACACAGGAGCCGUCUCUGGCUUGGCCUGAAGUUUGGGGCAGCUAUAGCCCGCCGAGUUUGUCGUUGUAGCCCUGGAUACGAGACCUCUAGUCUCUGAUGUUGACGCGGCAGCCGACAUGCCAUCGACCUCCAUGACGGCCACCCACUGGGUGUUGAGCCAACUGGGUUCGAGGUUCGUCAUAGCCGGCGGAGUGGGUGGAGCCGACGAGGCAGUAGGAGCCGGCAGAGCCGGCGGAGUUGAUGAAGCCGAAAGGGCCUUCGGACCCGAAGUCGUCGGGCCGGUUGACUCCGCGGGCACGAAGAUCGACAACGACUCCGAAGAUGGCUUGAUGGACAUCUUGUGCAACUGCUCGAGGGAAACGCCGACCGAGAUUGCCUAUCUGGUGGAGCCAAUUUUUUCCAACGUAUCCGCCGCCUCGUUGUCCACUCGAGGGACAUGAUGGAAUUCGCGACCCUCGAAAGGGUCACUAAGCUGCUCGAUGAGGAAGCGGUAGCUGGCCAUGUUGGGGUCCUUGGCGUCCCAUUCGCCACAGACUUGGUGCACCACGAGGUCGGAGUCGCCGAAGCAAAGAAUUCAUUGGAUGUCGAUCUCUGUGGCAAGCCGGAGGCCGUGUGCGAGCACCUCGUACUCGGCGACGUUGUUGGAGACGGCAAAGUGGAUUUGGAGAGCAUAUUUGAGUUGGUCCCCUUUCGGGGACGACAACACGAUGUCGGCUCCCAGACCGGUCCACAUCUUGGAGCCAUCGAAGUGCAUCCACGAAUGCGUGGAGUCAGGAGGCAACGACAGGAACUGGGUCUCGGCCUAGUCGACGAGGAAAUUGGCCACCACCUGAGACUUGAUGGCGGUGCGCGGCUUGUAGCGGAUGUCGUGGUUGGCCAUGGCGAUGGACCACUUGGCAAUCCGGCCAGUGGCAUCACGAUUGCCCAUGAUUUGUAAAAGUGGAGUUGUGCUCACCACCGUAAUGGUGUGCUCCUGGAAGUAAUUCUUUAGCUUCUUGGCGGAAAAUUACACACCAUAGCACAUCUUUUGGUAGUGGGGGUAGUUUUGCUUAGAGGCGGAUAAGACUUCGCUCAAAUAGUAGACACGGCGCUGAACCGACAGCACCCUGCUCCCCUCAUUUCAUUCCACCACCAAGACGACACUGACCACGCGCGUGGUUGCCGCGAUGUAGACGAGUAUGGGUUUCCCCUCAGCCGACGCGGCCAAGAUAGGCAUGCUAGAGAUAACGCGCUUGAGGUCGCGGAAUGCUUCGUCCGCCUGAUCGUUCCACUCGAAUUUGGUUCUUCAUUAGCUGGUAGAGUGGCAGCGCCUUCCCACCCAGCCGGCUGAUGAACCGGAUGAGGGAUACUAGGCAAUCGGAAAAUUCUUAGACGUCGGGGAGUCAAUCCGGCUCGGCCAUGAGCUCCGAUGGUUCUUAUAUUCUCGGGGCCUCGAUGCCACGCGCCGACACGAAGAAACCCAGGAGUUUGCUGGCUGGAACUCCAAAGACGCACUUCUCCGGAUUGAGCUGGAUCUUGUACUCGCGCAGGUUGGAGAAGGUCACCCGUAGAUCGUCAAGGAGACUGAAAUGCUUCUUGGUUUUGACGACGAUGUUGUUGACGUAGACGUGUAUGUUCCUGCCGAUCUGUGGCAGGAGGCAUUGCUGCAUGCAACGCUGGAAGGUAGCGCCUACAUUUUUCAAGCCAAACGUCAUCGUCGUGUUGGAGUAAGCUCCGAAGNNNUCGUGUAGGAGUAAGCUCCGAAGGGGGUGAUGAAGGAGGCCUUGAGCCGGUCGGCCGGGUCCAGCUUGAUCUGGUGGUAGCAGGAAUAAGCGUCCAGAAAGGACAACAAGUCGCAGUUGGCCAUGGAGUCGAUCACUUGAUCUAUCUGUGGCAGGGCGAAAGGACCCUUCGGACAUGCCUUAUUCAGACUUGUAUAGUCGAUGCACAUGCGCCAUGUUUUGUUUUUCUUCAACACCAGGACUGGGUUGGCCAGCCAGUCCGGGUGGAAAAUUUCCAUGAAGAAGCCGGCUGCGAGCAGCCAGGCGAUCUCUUCUCCGAUUGUGCGUCGCUUCCCCUCGGCAAAGUUGCGCAAAGGUUGUUUGAACGACUUUGCAUCCGGCCGCACAUGAAGCUUGUGCUCGGCGUACUUCCUCGGGAAUCCUGGCAUGUCCUUGGGGGACUAUGCAAAGAUAUCUCGAUUCUCACGGAGGAAGUCGAUGAUCUCGCCUUCCUAUUUGGGACCGAGGUUGCCGCCGAUGGUGACGCACUGCUUGGGGUUGGCCCGGUCGAGUGGCACUUGCUUGGUCUCCUUGGAGGGCUCGAACGAGGCCUCGCUGACCGACUGGGACGGAGGAGUGGUCAGGGCCUGCUGCUCAGUGGCCUGAGCCACGAGCCGACCGAGCUGCCUCUUCUCCUCGGCAAUCACUAGUGCCUCGGUCAGCCGGCUGUUGUCGCAUGCGCAACCGACUGACUUCUCGUAGUUGUCGGCAACAGUGAUAAUGCCCUUGGGCCCAUGCAUCUUCAUCUUGAGGUAGGCGUAAUGGGGGAUCGCCAUGAACUUGGCAAGCACCGGCCUGCGUAGCAGUGUGUGGUAGGGGAUGCCGAGGUUCACAACCUCGAACCAGAUCGUCUCGCGGCAGAAAUGGGCCUUGUCGCCAAAGAGGACGUCCAGCUGGAUCUUGCCGAUGGGCGAGCAAGAUUGUCCCGACAAAAUGUCAUGGAAGACAGUCCUCGUCGGCUGCAGGUUCUUCUCCUUGAGCCCGAGCUUGAGCAGGGUGUCGCGGUAGAGGAUGUUGAUGCUGCUACCGCCAUCGACCAUCACCCGUGAGAACCGGCAGGUGAGUAUCUUGGAGGUGAUGGUGGGGUCGAGGACGAUCGCGUAUCUGCCGGGGUUCGGCAUCACCGCAGGAUGGUCCGCCCGGCUCCAUGUAAUUGGCUUUUCAGACCAAUGCAUGUUUUGUGGAACCAAGGGGACCGUGGCAUUCACCUCAUGCCGGCGCUUACGCUGGUUGCGCUUGUCGUCGCCCUUACUGGUGAAGAUGACGUAGGCCCCGUCUUGAUCGGGGAACUGAUCAUGGAGACGACCGUCAUUGGGCGGUGGCGGAGCUGGGGCCGGACCCGGUCCAGGAGCCGAAGCUCGAGGAGACGGCCCCGGGGGAGCCGACAGACCCUCACCCGAAGCCAGGCGCUAUGAGAAGUUGCACUGCCGGAGCAUGUGGGUGGCCGGCUUCGCCCCGGUGUGCAUAUUUCAGGGUGCAUCGAGCAUCUGCUCGAAGGUGAGCUUGGGUUGCCACACGUUCUUGCCGGUUCGUUGUCGCUGAGCACCGGGUUGCGCAGCCGGCUGAUCUUCCGCGACGUUCACCACUUGCUUGCUUUCGGGCUGCGGGUCGAGUUGAUCCGCCUUGCGCUUGUUGUUUUGCUCGCCUCGGUUGUCGCCACUCGGCCAGUUGUAGCAGGCGGCGGGACGGGCUUGUCCGUUGCGUUGACCUUGAUCUGCAUCGCAGAGUCGACAAUGGCAUACUUGUAUGCCUUGUCCAUGAGUGUCGCCCGCCCGCCCAAGAGGUAGGCUCAGAGAACAUAAGCUUGUGUUUGAGAAGGGUGCCGUCUCGGCAGCCUUUGAUGAAGUACUGAAUGGCAUGUACCUCAUGCACUCCUUCGCAGAAGUUGCACAAUUUUGUCUAACACAUGACGUAGUCCCGGAGGGGGUCGUCGGGCUUGUGGACGCACAUGGCCAGCUCGCGGGGGCGGCCAGGGCGUUUGUAAGUGCCGAUAAAGUUGCGGACGAAGGCCUCUUCGAAGCCAACCCAGGUGUUGACGCAGUCGGUUGGCAGGCUAUUAAGCCAUGUCCGAGUCGAGCCGAUCAACAUGAGUGGCACAUAGCGGACGACUACGCGCUUGUUGCCCCUGGCUAUGCCGACUGUGGUGGUGUAGUCGAUCAGCCAGUCCUCCGGCUUGGCGAAGCAGUUGUAUUUUGGAGUAUCGCGGGGAAGGGUAAAGCCAGAAGGAAAUGGCUCCCCGCGGAUCUGGGGGCCGAAGCAUGCCGGACCGAUGGGACCCUCCUCCUCCACGAGGUCCGACUGCGCUAGCCGGUCGAGGCGGGUGCGAGCGUCGUUCUCGCUACGGGGGACACGGGGACCGAGCCGAGCUACGAGUUCGGGUCGGACAAGAGGCACGCGCGUGUGGGCCUUCUCCCACCGCUGAGGUGGGGGAACUUCGUGGACUGAGCCGCCCUCAUCUCCAGCCUACUCACGGAGACGACUCGAGGCCGCCUGACGUUCGCUCCGGCGCUGGGAACGCCGACUACGACUCCCCUCGGCCUUCCAGCCGGAGCCGUGAGGGGAGGAAGAACGCUGAGCCUGCUGGCGGCUGCUGCGUAUCUGGUAACCCUCAUAGUCGAAGCCAGGGGACACAGAGAAACCAUGGUCCGGGUCGAGGCGCCCCUGUUGAUCGUUGGCAGCAGCGAGGAGCUCCUUGAUGUGCUUUUCUUGCCGCACACGCUCCUCACCCUCCAGGGUGUCCAUCUCAUCAGGGGCCGCCUGGGCGGCCCGCAUGUUGGCCGCGGGGGUGUCAUAGAUGGGCAACUUGCCGCCUAGGAUUUCGGCAACAACCCGACCGCGACCGUGAAUGUCACCACGUCGGCUGGGUCCGUCAGCGGCUGGGGAGAAGCCGUAAGCGAAGCUGUACUCACGCUGCGCAACCUCCAUCCGGUGCUUGGCGGUUGCGAGGGCGGUGCGUGAUUGGUCUCCAACGUAUCUGUAAUUUUUGAUUGUUCCAUGCUAUUAUAUUAUAUGUUUUGGAUGUCUUAUAUGCAUUUAUAUAUUGUUUUAUAUUAUAUUUGGGACUAACCUAUUAACCUAGAGCCUAGUGCCAGUUUUUGUUUUUUUUCUUCACAUUUUUGAAUAUUGCAAAUAAGGAAUAUUAAAUGGAUUCCAAAUGGAAUAAAAUCUCCUCGAAGAUUUUUCUUGGACCAGAAGACAUGCAACAGACUUGGAGUAGGGGGCAAGGCAGUUGCCGGGAGGCCACAAGCCUGCAGGGCGCAUCGUCGGGGGGUGGCCGCGCCCCCUGGUUUGUGGGACCUCUGCAGGUCUCCUAACCCAAAUUCUUUGCCUAUAAAAUCCCAAAUAUUCCAGUAUCGCAAAAAAGAUCAACGAAAAUACUUUUACGCCGUCGGGACCCUCUGUUCCCAAGAGAUCCAAUAUGGGAGCCAUUUCCGGUAAUCUGCCGGAGAGGGAAUUGAUCACGAAGGGCAUCUACAUCAGCUUCACUGCCCCUCCGAUGAUGUGUGAGUAGUUCACCAUAGACCUACGGGUCCAUAGCUAGUAGCUAGAUGGCUUCUUCUCUCUCUUUGAUCUUCAAUACCAUGUUCUUCAUGAUCUUCAUGGUGAUCUAUCCGAUGUAAUACUCUUUUGCGGUGUGUUUGUGGAGAUCCGGUGAAUUGUGAGUUUAUGUUCAGAUUAUCCAUGAAUGUUAUUUGAGUCUCUUCUNNNNNNNNNNNNNNNNNNNNNNNNNNNNNNNNNNNNNNNNNNNNNNNNNNNNNNNNNNNNNNNNNNNNNNNNNNNNNNNNNNNNNNNNNNNNNNNNNNNNGAGAUUGAAGAACUACACGAUCUUGGAAGAUCAAAUCUUGAUCAAGGCUUGGAGUACGGUGUCUAUGGAUCCUUGCACAUGUGUGUCCCAAGCCGCCAAGACGUAUUGGCAAAGAAUUGAAGAUAAAUACUUCCAAUUCAUGGCCAAGUAUCCCAACAGGACAACAUGGACCUUUCGGUCACUCCAAGGUCGUUGGGACGUGAUCAAGACGACUUGUAGCCGUUGGGUAGCUUUCUUGGAACAAGUUCACAAUACUCCUCCAAGUGGAACCGUCGAAUCCGACUAUGUGAGUUGGUUCAUGUCAAAUGGUUCCAUCAGUUUGCAUAAUAUAAAAUGGUUCCAUCAGUUUGACUUUGUUUUAAUUGUGUAGGAAAAACUUGUCCAACAACCAUAUAAAGACAUGCAUGUCUCCGAAGGCAAAAAAAAAGCAUCGUUGGGAAUUGCGCAAAAACUGCGACAAGUGGGCGUCGAUUGACAGAGAAUUCCCAGCGAAGAGAGGUUCAUUUAUGGACAUGGAUGAACAUGAAGAUGAUGAUGUACCAAGAAACUUGAACAAGCUCAAUGGUGACAAAAAGACAAAGGAGAAGAUUAAAAGGGAACACGAAGCAUCAACCUUGCUGGACAAGAUAGAUUCCAUGCUGCAAUCAAAUGAGGUAUUGCUAGCAAAGUCUUUGGAGGCAAAGAUAGAGUUGGUCGAGAAGAAGGCACGAGAGAACCAAGAGAGGUGGAAAUUCCUCAAGGAAGUUGAGGAGAGAAAAGCACGUGUCGCUGAGAACAAAACCAUGGCCCACCUUCUUGCCAAAGAGAAUAGGAUUAUGACUUUGAACCACAAUGACAAGGACGACGUCAGCAAAGAAUGGAAUGAUAUGACAAGGAGAGAAAUCUUGAAGAGCAGGAUGUUUGUGUGUUACAAUGGCGGCGAUGGUUUCUCCUCUGGAAUCGGAACCGAUGAUAUCAAUGCCGGAGUAGGGACAAGUGCCGGAGUAGGAACAAGUGCACGCGAUGGAUUCGGGGGCGGCGAUGACCUCGAUGGUGUAGACUGAAGAACGACCAGGAUGCAUGAAGUCCUUUUGCAUUUGUCUUUUAAACUAUGCUCUCAUUUCACGCGCGAACUAUGUNNNNNNNNNNNNNNNNNNNNNNNNNNNNNNNNNNNNNNNNNNNNNNNNNNNNNNNNNNNNNNNNNNNNNNNNNNNNNNNNNNNNNNNNNNNNNNNNNNNNUUGUUUUCUAGUGUCAAACCUAAUGAUGAUGGGGCUGGAUAUGAAUCCACCUUGGUUGAAAAACGCCCCAAUGAUUCGGAGUCCAUCUAUCUUGAUGCUAAAAGCAUUGAAAGUGGAGUAGAGAAUAUCAAAACUUUGAGUAGUAAUGAAACUACUACUUUGGAUUUCAAGGAAUUCAAUUAUGAUAGUUGCUCUUUGGUUGAAUGUAUUUCCUUGAUGCAAUCCAUGCUAAAAUCUUGAUACAUCUCAAACGUAUCUAUAAUUUUUGAUGAUUUCAUGCUGUUAUCUUGUCAACUUUGGAUGUUUUAUAUACCUUUUAUAUCUUUUUUGGGACUAACUUAUUAAUUCAGUGCCAAGUGCCAGUUCCUAUUUUUUCUGUGUUUUUGACUCUUUUUCAGAUCUGAUUUUGGAACGGAGUCCAAACGGAAUAAAAUCCCCGAAAUAAAAUUUUCCAGAACAGAAGAAGAUCAGGGGACUUGAGGGCCAAGGCAGGAGGCCUACAGGGAGCUCACAAGCCGUGACGCCGCGGCCAGGGGGGCCCGCGGUGACCAGGCUUGUGGCCUCUCUGGCGCUCCCCUGCCCUAGCUCUUUGGCCUAUAAAUUCCCUAAAAUCCUAGAAAAAAUCAGGGCGUCCACGAAAACAUUCCGCCGCCGCAAGCUUCCGUUUCCGCGAGAUCUCAUCUGGAGACCCUUCCCGGUGCCCCGUCGGAGGGGACUUUGGAGUUGGAGGGCUUCUACAUCAACAUCAUCACCUCUCCAAUGACUCAUGAGUAGUCCACUUUAGACCUACGAGUCCGUAGUUAGUAGCUAGAUGCUUCUUCUCUCUCUCUUGGAUCUUCAAUACAAAGUUCUCCAUGAUCUUCAUGGAGAUCUAUCCGAUGUAAUCCUCUUUGGCGGUGUGUUUGUCGAGAUCCGAUGAAUUGUGGAUUUGUGAUCAGAUUAUCUAAGAAUUAUAUUUGAGUCUUUGCUGAUUUCUUAUAUGCAUGAUUUGAUAUCCUUGUAAGUCUCUCCGAGUCUUGGGUUUUGUUUGGCUAACUAGAUCUAUGAUUCUUGCAAUGGGAGAAGUGCUUGGUUUUGGGUUCAUACCGUGCGGUGACCUUUCCCAGUGACAGAAGGGGCAGCAAGGCACACAUCAUGUUGUUGCCAUCAAGAGUAACAAGAUGGGCUUUCAUCAUAGAUUUGAGAUUGUCCAUCUACAUCAUGUCAUGUUGCUUAAGGCGUUACUCUGUUCUUAUGAACUCAAUACACUAGAUGCAUGCUGGAUAGCGGUCGACGUGUGGAGUAAUAGUAGUAGAUGCAGAAAGUAUCGGUCUACUUGUUUUGGACGUGAUGCCUAUAGAUAUGAUCAUUUCCAUAGAUAACAUCAUGACUUUGCGCGGUUCUAUCAAUUGCUCGACAGUAAUUUUUUCACCCACCGUCUACUUGCUUUCAUGAGAGAAGCCACUAGUGAACACUACGGCCCCCGGGUCUAUUCACAACUAUCGUCUCCACUUUUACUUUUACUUUGCUUUGUUUACUUUUUUGCUUUCAAUUCUCACUUUGCAAACAAUCUAUAAGGGAUUGACAACCCCUUCAAAGCGUUGGGUGCAAGCUCUUUGUGUUUGUGCAGGUACUUGUGACUUGACGCAAUCCUCCGACUGGAUUGAUACCUUGGUUCUCAAACUGAGGGAAAUACUUACCGCCGCUGUGAUACAUCACCCUUUCCGCUUCAAGGGAACACCAACGCAAGGCUCCAAGGCCGCGGGGGAAUCCUUUGCAUAUUUGCCAAGGAAGUCCCUAUAGGCGUAGCCUGUAGCAGAAGGAUUCCUGGCGCCGUUGCCAGGGAAGGUCUUUUGUUGCCGUAGCAACUCUCCACACGCUUAUAGCCAAAACAAGGCCUUUACCGAUCAUAUCAUCGAUGCUAUGAUAAAAUCUCUUGAAAAGAAACUUGAAUUGGAAGUUUCUAUUCCUAGAAAACUUCAUGAUGAGUGGGAACCUACUAUCAAAAUCAAGAUAAAAAAACUAUGAAUGCAAUGCUUUGUGUGAUUUGGGUGCUAGUGUUUCUGCGAUUCCAAAGUCUUUAUGUGAUGUUCUAGGUUUCAAUGAGAUUGAUGAGUGCUCUCUUAAUUUGCAUCUUGCGGAUUCUACUGUUAAGAAACCAAUGGGGAGGAUCAAUGAUGUUCUUAUUAUUGCAAAUAGGAACUAUGUACCCGUGGAUUUCAUUGUGCUUGAUAUUGAUUGCAAUCCUACAUGUUCUAUCAUUCUUGGUAGACCUUUCCUAAGGACUAUUGGUGCUAUCAUCGAUAUGAAGGAAGGGAAUAUUAGAUUUCAAUUUCCUUUAAAGAAGGGCAUGGAACAUUUUCCUAGAAAGAAAAUAAGAUUGCCUUAUGAAUCCAUGAUGAGGGCUACUUAUGGUUUGAGUACCAAAGACGACGAUACAUGAUUCUAUCACCUUAUGCCUAGCUAAGGGCGUUAAACAAUAGCGCUUGUUGGGAGGCAACCCAAUGAACUUAUCUUUGCUUUUUUGCUUUCUGUUUUGUUGCGUCCACACCAUCAUAAUUCUGUUAUGAUUGUGUCUUUUGUGUUUCUUUUUGUGUUAGUGCCAAGUAAAGCCUUUAUGACUAGUUUGGUGAUGGUUGUUUGAUCCUGCUGGAAAAAGACAGAAACUUUUCGCUCAUGAAAUUAUUUGUCAUUUUUAUCCAGAAAGAGCUUUUGAGUUGAUUCUUUUUGCUGCUGGUUGAUUUUUCUUUUUUUCAAACUAUCGUAAUUUUCAGAAUUUUUGAGAUACCAGAAGUAUACGAAGUAUACAGAUUGCUAUAGACUGGUCUGUUUUUGUUGUGUUGAUUGCUUAUUUUGAUGAAACUAUGGUUAGUAUAGGGGGGUAUUAGCCAUGGGAAAGUGAUAAUACAGUAAUAUAACACCAAUAUAAAUAGAAAUCAAGUUUUCUGCAGUACCUAAAGAGGUGGUCAUUUGUUUUCUUGUGCUAAUGAUAUCACGAGUUUCUGUUUAAGUUUUGUGUUGUGAAGUUUUCAAGUUUUGGGUGAUGUUCUGAUGGACAAAGGAAUAAAGAGUGGAAAGAUCUCAAGCUUGGGGAUGCCCAAGGCAUCCCAAGCCAAAUUCAAGGACAUCAAAAAUCCUAAGCUUGGGGAUGCCCCGGGAAGGCAUCCCCUCUUUCGUCUUCAANNNNNNNNNNNNNNNNNNNNNNNNNNNNNNNNNNNNNNNNNNNNNNNNNNNNNNNNNNNNNNNNNNNNNNNNNNNNNNNNNNNNNNNNNNNNNNNNNNNNUUAUGCUGAAAUUUUUGAAGUUCAAGAGAAAAGUGAAUAAAGACCCACCACACCUUGUAGCAACUACUCCUACUAGUGCCUAGAGACUGUAUCACGCGCUAAAACUACUUGGGACCGGCUAAAAUCAAGCUUUCUAGCUCAAGAACAGGGUCACCAAGGUAGCAAGAAUACGCGAAGGAUAAAGCACUAGAGCAAAAACUAAUUGGACCAAUGGAGGAGUCACUUACCAAGGAGUAAUUUCCCCAAAACGGUUCGGAGAAUGGUGCUUUCAGCAAGGAGAUCGAAAAUCACAGCCAAAUGAGCAAGAACACGGGUUUGAGCUGCGAAACAAUUUUUUCUGGAGGUGGAAGAAGAGGCUCGGAGCUGGAAUGAGUGGAGGGGUGCCUGUGGGCCCCACAAGCUUGCACCCCGCCACCACGGGGUAGGUGGCGGUGGCAGGGCUUGUGGCCCACUCGUCAGGCCCCCAGGCCAACUCUCAGGCCCAGAAAUUUUCAAAAAUUCCAGAAAAAAUCAUACUAAAUUUUCAGGACCAUCGGAGAACUUUUAUUUUCGAGGUACUUUUCUCCGGGGUGCUAAAACAGAAAACAGGAAAAACUAAACUAAUUCUAUCAUUUUUCUUCUAAGCAAAAGAAAAUGAAAGCUCAAAACAGAGGUAUGUGACUCUUUGAUUCAUCUGUUUCAUGGUCAUCGAAAGAAAUCCGUCAAUGGGGUUGAUCAAGUCCUUAUGACAAAACCUUCUCGAAUCUCAAGAGAGAACGGAGAAUUUUCGAAUAGCCACUAAGUCACCUCAAUGGGGAUAUGUAUCUCCCCAACGAGAAAAUCAUACUUCAUCUUGACACGAGGAAUAGGGCAUUCAAAGCUCCCAAUAAGAAUCGAUGAAGUCUUUUCGGUAGCAUUGAUGCAAUGUACUUGAUAUCGUUUCUUUGGAAAGUGUAUUGUGUGCUCAUUACCGUUGACAUGGAAAGUGACAUUGCCUUUGUUGCAAUCUAUAACAGCCCUUGCAGUGUUUAAAAAGGGUCUUCCGAGGAUGACAGCCAUGGCAUCGUCCUCGGGAAUAUCCAAGGUGUGCUAGCCUUCUCUAUGGCAUUUUCAUGCUUCAUGUCUGUACUCGGAUAUUUGUUGCUUCCGCUGACUCGUGUGUUUACCGAGCUUCUGUAUUCUAGCCCUCGAGGCCCCUGGCUUGUAAUAUGAAGCUUGUAUGUUUUUAUUUGUGUCUAGAGUUGUGUUGUGAUAUCUUCCCGUGAGUCCUUGAGCUUGGUCGUACGCAUUUGCGUGUAUGAUUAGCGUACGAUCAAGUCCAGGGUGUCACAGAUAACCCCGGGGUAGGCUCACCAGGCCUACUCCUUCACACUUCGGCAUAGAGUGGGGCGAAAGCCUCCUCAGAUGUCGGCUCCUCCUCGCCGGCUGUGUAGCCCGCUGUAACACCCUGUGUUUAGCUUUCCUGACUAAUUUACUUAUUUCAAAAAUUAGGACCUAUUAAUUUUUUUGUGAAUGCUUGUGAUGCUUGAAGUGACUGUUGUUUCCUUGCUUGCUUGUAUGCGUGUGGUUGAUCCUCAAUAAUUCCCGUUACUCUCUAGACUCACCUCCUUAGCCCAUAACACCUGCCUAAUGAUGAGGCCAUGUGUUUGGGACCAGAAACUAUUUUUACCAAAUAUUAUUUUCACCAAAAAUCAUUUCUUUGAAUUAAGCUUUCAAAGCCCGUGAGAUGGGAUUUGUACUACAAGUCCUCAAAUUAGGGAAUUUAUUUUGCCNNNNNNNNNNNNNNNNNNNNNNNNNNNNNNNNNNNNNNNNNNNNNNNNNNNNNNNNNNNNNNNNNNNNNNNNNNNNNNNNNNNNNNNNNNNNNNNNNNNNUUACCGCUAUCAUUUUGGGGAUACGCAUUAGAAACUGCAACAUUCACUUCAAAUAGGGCACCGUCUAAAUCCGUUGAGACGACACUGUAUGAACUAUGGUUUGGCAAGAAACCGAAGUUGUCAUUUUUUAAAGUUUGGGGUUGUGAUGCUUAUGUGAAGAAACUUCAACCAGAAAAGCUCGAACCCAAAGCAGAGAAAUGCGUGUUCAUAGGAUACCCUAAGGAAACUAUUGGGUAUACCUUCUAUCUUAGAUCCGAAGGUAAAACCUUUGUUGCCAAGAACGGAUCCUUUCUAGAGAAAGAGUUUCUCUCAAAAGAAGUAAGUGGGAGGAAGGUAGAACUUGAUGAGGUAAUUACACCCCCUCUCGAACAGGAUAGUAGCACAGCGCGGGAAGUUGUUCCUGUGGCGCCUACACCAACUGAAGAGGAAGUUAAUGAUGAUGAUCAUGAAGCUUCGGAUCAAGUUACUACUGAACCGCNNNNNNNNNNCGUAAUUACACCCCUCUCGAACAGGAUAGUAGCGCAGCGCGGGAAGUUGUUCCUGUGGCGCCUACACCGACUGAAGAGGAAUUUAAUGAUGAUGAUCAUGAAGCUUCGGAUCAAGUUACUACUGAACCGCGAAGGUCCGCAAGGGCACGAUCCGCACCAGAGUGGUACGGCAACCCUGUGAUGGAAAUCAUGUUGUUAGACAACGGUGAACCUUCGAACUAUGAAGAAGCGAUGGCGGGCCCGGAUUCCAACAAAUGGCUUGAGGCUAUGAAAUCCGAGAUAGGAUCCAUGUAUGAGAACAAAGUAUGGACUUUGGUGGACAUGCCCGAUGACCGGCGAGCCAUAGAAAAUAAAUGGAUCUUCAAGAAGAAGACUGAUGCAAACGGUAAUGUAACCGUUUACAAAGCUCGACUUGUCGCAAAGGGUUUUCGACAAAUUCAAGGAGUUGACUACGAAGAGACUUUCUCUCCCGUAGUGAAGCUGAAAUCAGUCUGAAUCAUGUUAGCAAUUGCCGCCUUUUAUGAUUAUGAAAUUUGGCAAAUGGACGUCAAAACAGCGUUCCUGAACGGGAACCUUAAGGAAGAGUUGUAUAUGAUGCAACCAGAAGGUUUUGUCGACCCUAAGGGUGCUAACAAAGCGUGGAAGCUCCACUACGGGUACCCGUUGACUAAACCUCUUCCACGAGCAAAACAUGAUCAACACCAUAAUGCUAUGAGUGUUCGAUACAUCACAAUGUAACUAGAUUAUUGACUCUAGUGCAAGUGGGAGACUGUUGGAAAUAUGCCCUAGAGGCAAUAAUAAAAUGGUUAUUAUCAUAUUUUGUUGUUCAUGAUAAUCGUCUAUCGUUCAUGCUAUAAGUGUAUUAACAGGAAACAGUAAUACAUGUGUGAAUAAAUAGAUCACAAUNNNNNNNNNNGCUCCUGAUGAUGUUGUAGUACGACGUAGCAUCCAUCGCCUUCUUGGGACUUUCUUUCCUGAGCUUGAGUUGUGCCUCCAUUGGAGCACACACCAUGCUCAGAGGUGAUGUGUCAGAACCCAAGGGACGCGAAGCUUGCAUUGAGCUUUUGUGUUCCACGCCCUUUGGGCUUGCCGGAGACGGUACAUGGUCUUAUGUAGCUACUGCACACCCUCCUCUUGAUUCCCAGAGAUAAACCUUGGUGGGUGGGAGAGGUACACCUCCUCGUUAAGGUCUUUAUUGAGGAACAGUGACUUAACGUCCAUGUGAUGCACCUUCCAUCAGUGGUGAGCAGCCACGACAAGGAUGAGCCACACAAACUCCUGCCUUGCCACUGUUGGAAAUAUGCCCUAGAGGCAAUAAUAAAAUGGUUAUUAUCAUAUUUCCUUGUCCAUGAUAAUCGUCUAUUGUUCAUACUAUAAUUGUAUUAACAGGAAACAGUAAUACAUGUGUGAAUAAAUAGAUCACAAUGUGUCCCUAGCAAGCCUCUAAUGGGCUAGCUCGUUAGUCAAUAGAUGAUCAUGGUUUCCUAAUCAUGGGCAUUAGAUGUCAUUGAUAACGGGAUCACAUCAUUGGGAGAAUGAUGUGAUGGACAAGACCCAAUCCUAAGCAUAGCACUAGAUCGUAUUGUUCGUAUGCUAAAGCUUUUCUAAUGUCAAGUAUAUUUUCCUUCGAUUGUGAGAUUGUGCAACUCCCGGAUACCGUAGGAGUGCUUUGGGUGUAUCAAACGUCAGAACUUAAAUGGGUGACUAUAAAGGUGCACUACGGGUACCUCCGAAAGUGUCUGUUGGGUUGGUACGAACCGAGAUCGGAAUUUGUCACUCCGUGUGACGGAGAGGUAUCUCUGGGCCCACUCGGUAGAACAUCAUCAUGCCUUCAAUGUGACUAAGGAGUUAGUCACACGAUGACGUGCUACGGAACGAGUAAAGAGACUUACCGGUAACGAGAUUGAACACGGUAUAGGUAUGCUGACGAUCGAAUCUCGGGCAAGUUCUGUACCGACAGACAAAGGGAAUCGNNNNNNNNNNNNNNNNNNNNNNNNNNNNNNNNNNNNNNNNNNNNNNNNNNNNNNNNNNNNNNNNNNNNNNNNNNNNNNNNNNNNNNNNNNNNNNNNNNNNCCCGUGAAUUUAAAGAUUGAUGGCGAACUUUUGUGGUGCCUCGCAAAAGAAUUUACGAGCCGGACGUGUUUGCAGGGUCUGAUUCGGCAGCAUUUUUUAUCUUGACCCGUAUUUUAGUGGUUAUUUUGUAGGUCGGGGCAUUAUACGGGGUCUGCUAGAGAUGCUCUAACCCAUGCAACUCUGCCAAAAGCUGGCAAGCAUGAACCCAAGUGCAGCUGUAAAGGUUAAUGAUAUAACUAGUGCAGUAAUUAGAAGCGAAUGAGUGAACACAUGCAUGUGUGCCCCUCAUGCGUGUCAUUGCGAAUUUCUCAACUCUCACUCCCAGGUUAGCUUGCAGUUGGUUCUUGGUUCUCGGUCAAAGUCAAUAAUAUACUCAUUUUGUUUUGGCGGAUAUGGCAUCAUCUACGUGAAGAAUUUCUGUCCAUCAGUUUUGGUUGAAAGCCUGGUCAAAGCUGGCGACAUAAUGUCGACAUGCCUUGCGAUAAACACUCACACUUUGCGCACCUCCCAAACUUUCAGUCCAGAACUAGUUUUCUUUAUAUGCCUAAGCUACUGGGUUGGCAUUACCUAGUUUGGGAGAUUAUAUCGUUUNNNN